Triticum aestivum (bread wheat) is the source of this 139-nucleotide non-coding RNA. The record is from Rfam. Lineage: Eukaryota; Viridiplantae; Streptophyta; Magnoliopsida; Poales; Poaceae.
CCUCUCGGUGACGAAGAGCUGAUGUCUCACAUCCUCUCCGGGCUGGAUAUGGAGUACCAGCCGCUGAUUUCCGCCCUUGACGUCCGCACCGAGCUCGUCUCCCUCGACACCCUCUUUGCCCUCAUGUCCAACUUCGAUC